GCUUCUUUUUCCACCGGAGCUUGCUCCACCGGAAAAAGAGGAGUGGCGAACGGGUGAGUAACACGUGGGUAACCUGCCCAUCAGAAGGGGAUAACACUUGGAAACAGGUGCUAAUACCGUAUAACAAUCAAAACCGCAUGGUUUUGAUUUGAAAGGCGCUUUCGGGUGUCGCUGAUGGAUGGACCCGCGGUGCAUUAGCUAGUUGGUGAGGUAACGGCUCACCAAGGCCACGAUGCAUAGCCGACCUGAGAGGGUGAUCGGCCACAUUGGGACUGAGACACGGCCCAAACUCCUACGGGAGGCAGCAGUAGGGAAUCUUCGGCAAUGGACGAAAGUCUGACCGAGCAACGCCGCGUGAGUGAAGAAGGUUUUCGGAUCGUAAAACUCUGUUGUUAGAGAAGAACAAGGAUGAGAGUAACUGUUCAUCCCUUGACGGUAUCUAACCAGAAAGCCACGGCUAACUACGUGCCAGCAGCCGCGGUAAUACGUAGGUGGCAAGCGUUGUCCGGAUUUAUUGGGCGUAAAGCGAGCGCAGGCGGUUUCUUAAGUCUGAUGUGAAAGCCCCCGGCUCAACCGGGGAGGGUCAUUGGAAACUGGGAGACUUGAGUGCAGAAGAGGAGAGUGGAAUUCCAUGUGUAGCGGUGAAAUGCGUAGAUAUAUGGAGGAACACCAGUGGCGAAGGCGGCUCUCUGGUCUGUAACUGACGCUGAGGCUCGAAAGCGUGGGGAGCAAACAGGAUUAGAUACCCUGGUAGUCCACGCCGUAAACGAUGAGUGCUAAGUGUUGGAGGGUUUCCGCCCU
Molecule: ribosomal RNA, 801 nt
Filed under: Enterococcus faecium
Lineage: Bacteria; Bacillati; Bacillota; Bacilli; Lactobacillales; Enterococcaceae
Description: bacterial SSU rRNA
Rfam family: Bacterial small subunit ribosomal RNA
Source: RNAcentral